Non-coding RNA from Cinara cedri, 560 nucleotides. Lineage: Eukaryota; Metazoa; Arthropoda; Insecta; Hemiptera; Aphididae. The record is from the annotation of a GenBank genome assembly.
UGUAGCAUUUGGAAAACGAUAAUGAGCGGAAUUUGCAACUUAACUGCUUUCUCCUGUCUCAUGUAAACCUAGGUUCUGUAAAUACUUGCAUGUGAUUCAUUUUGCUGUCGGUUUCGUCGUAUUUCUUUUUGACUGCAUGCCAUUAUGCGAUACGGCAUUUUUAAACCGAAUCCAAACUCUUCGUUCAUCCUAAAAUCGAACAUAAAAUAUAAUUAGUUUUUAGUAAAAAAUCAGUGUAUUAAUGUUUUGAAAACAAUCGCAGGUGCUCAUAAUUUAAAGUUUAGUUCUUCGAUUAGGUUGAUUUUUAAACAAAUUUAACACGAACGAUACAGCUGAGGACUCUCUACUAUAAAACCAUUUGGAAAUAAUACAAUCUGCUUUACAUAUUAUAUUAUAUUUUGUUAUUGUAAGGUUUUAGUUAUUGUUUAGGCUGGAAUUUGGAAACGUAAGUAACUGGGGGAACGGCCCCGCGGAUCUCAAGUCUCUUCCAGAGAACCGGAUUGGUUGGGUGAACAACUCACGCAUAAAACCGCGGUGGGCCACGCUUUCGAGCUGUUGAC